This is a long non-coding RNA of Gossypium arboreum, 452 nucleotides long. RefSeq lists it as uncharacterized. The record is from RefSeq and is a predicted model, not a curated record. Lineage: Eukaryota; Viridiplantae; Streptophyta; Magnoliopsida; Malvales; Malvaceae. The transcript has 2 exons.
AAAAGGAAUGAAAUAAAAGAAAGAAAGAAACAGAAUAAGGAACGAAACAGAGAAGGAAGAAAAGAAAGGAGAGAAAAGAAAAAGGGAAAAUUGAGGGUUUAAAGCUUGAGGUUUAAAUAGCUAGCGUUGUGCCAGAAAAUCUCGGCUAAGCGAGGAAAGACGACGUCAACGAGGGUUAGCUCAGAAAUUACGGUUGUGUUUUUAUAAUCCGAACUUAAUAUUUAAUUGUUGAAUUUAUUAUUUAAUGUGUAGGGUGAUGCAUUGAAAAGCGAAAUUUAAUGGUUAAUUAUUAAAUUUUGAUUGAAUGUUAAGGUAAGCAUUAUUGUGUUUUAUGACUAUUGAAAUGAAUCAAAAUGUAUAUUGUAUUGCAAUUGAAUUGCAUGUGGAUUGAUAUGAAAAAAUGUAUUAAAUUGAAUUGAAAUUAAAUUACGAUUGAAAUUGAAAAUUUGAAA